CAAAAGCUUGGUCCUGACUUUACUAUCAACUUUAGCUAAACUUACACAUGCAAGUAUCCGCACCCCUGUGAGAAUGCCCCACAGUCCCCUGCCCGGGAACAAGGAGCUGGUAUCAGGCACAAUUACACCCAGCCCAUGACACCUUGCUUAGCCACACCCUCAAGGGAACUCAGCAGUGAUAGACAUUAAGCUAUAAGUGAAAACUUGACUUAGUCAAAGCUAAGAGGGUCGGUAAAACUCGUGCCAGCCACCGCGGUUAUACGAGAGACCCAAGUUGAUAGACGCCGGCGUAAAGAGUGGUUAAGAUAGACUGAAACUAAAGCCGAACACCCUCAGAGCUGUUAUACGCACCCGAAGGUAAGAAGUCCAAUCACGAAAGUGGCUUUAUGUCGCCUGAACCCACGAAAGCUAUGAUACAAACUAGGAUUAGAUACCCUAUUAU
RNAcentral lists this ribosomal RNA (442 nucleotides) under Pentaceros wheeleri (slender armorhead). RNAcentral's name for it is "partial 12S rRNA". It matches the Rfam family "Bacterial small subunit ribosomal RNA", at positions 7 to 793 of the family's 1533-position model. Lineage: Eukaryota; Metazoa; Chordata; Actinopteri; Acropomatiformes; Pentacerotidae. The record is from RNAcentral.